This 428-nucleotide ribosomal RNA is filed under the name uncultured archaeon. Its description in RNAcentral is "bacterial SSU rRNA". It matches the Rfam family "Archaeal small subunit ribosomal RNA", at positions 474 to 903 of the family's 1478-position model. The record is from RNAcentral.
UACCAGCACCCCGAGUGGUCGGGACGAUUAUUGGGCCUAAAGCAUCCGUAGCCGGUUCUCUAAGUCCUCCGUUAAAUCCAUCUGCUUAACAGAUGGGCUGCGGGGGAUACUAUAGAGCUAGGAGGCGGGAGAGGCAAGCGGUACUCAGUGGGUAGGGGUAAAAUCCGUUGAUCCAUUGAAGACCACCAGUGGCGAAGGCGGCUUGCCAGAACGCGCUCGACGGUGAGGGAUGAAAGCUGGGGGAGCAAACCGGAUUAGAUACCCGGGUAGUCCCAGCUGUAAACGAUGCAGACUCGGUGAUGAAUAGGCUUAGUGCCUAUUCAGUGCCGCAGGGAAGCCGUUAAGUCUGCCCGCCUGGGGAUACGGUCGCAAGACUGAAACUUAAAGUAAUUGGCGGGGAGCACCACGAAGGGUGAAGCCUGCGGUUC